AUAAGACCAAAGCUACCGGACAGAGGAAAUUUCUGAAAUCCCUGAGGCUUCCUUUCUCCUGGACAAGGGGCCCUCUGCUGCUGGAUCUUAUUGUCUGAAGCACACAAGACUCCCAUCCUCUGGGAGGACUGCGGUUGCUGAAGGAGAAACUCAACCCUGGUCCUGGCACUGACCAGCAUGCAGCCCAGAUUGCCUGGUUAGCAGGGCUUCAGCUGCUUUCAUUCUCUUAACAACUUGGGGGACAAAAGAGACUUAAUAAAGCAACAGUGAUUCACUAAAAGAACCCCAAAAGGAGGUGAGUCAUAACAUUAUAUCCAUAGCUGUGGGGUAACAUACAAAGUAAUCCCUUGAGCACUGGGUUUAGCAUCGGAAGAUAAGGACUGUGUGAUCUUGUGUGAGUCACUUAACCUCUCUGAGCCUCAGGGUCCUCCUCCAUAGACACUGUCCCCUCUUCAGAGAGUGAUGGUGAUGAGCACAUGGACACACUCUGUGCUCCAGAGGAAAAGGUGAGUGCCAUUGCAAACCAUCCUAAACACUUUGUUCAUGCCAUCAUUAUAGCACUUCGUGCAUUGCAGUGUAAUUGUCUGUUUAUUUCACUGAGUGUCUCCUCCCAAUGAGGGACCCUACCAUCUGCCACAUUGUGGUGUUCAAUGAAUGUUUUUGGAAUGAAUGAAUAAACGAAUGAAUAAUCAAAUGAAUUAACAAAUCUGAAAAGCAUGAUGCAGACUUCAGCAUUUUUUUUUAACACAGAUAUACAUGUGGGUCACAAUGCAAGGAACUUUUUCCAAGCUUCUGGUCAUACCCAGAAACAUAAAAGCAUGGAAUAUUCAAGACGCAAUCAGAGGUGGCACAGAGUAUGGAACACGCUUUCCUGCUGCUUUGGCACAAGCUUCACCCUAGUGAGGCUCAGUUGCCCUUCAAACAUUGCCCCAGUGCUCCGUUCGCCGGCUAUCUCAGACAUACUGAUGCACACUGGAGUGCCAGCAGUUGCCAUUCCCGAGCUGGCUGAGGCCUGCGGUCCUGCCUCUCUAUCCUGUCUCACAGAUGGGAAAACCAGGGCCCUGGCAGGUGCAAUGGCUUGGCCCAGCGAUGGCUCAGGGUGCCCGACAACACACGCAGAACUCUCUCCAUCCCAGCCCUGCUUCUCAGAGGGUACAAGGCAGUGAGCUAGGGGUACGAGAAGCCCUCAAGAGCCCGAAAAUCAGGAAUUAUACAGAUG
RNAcentral lists this long non-coding RNA (1219 nucleotides) under Homo sapiens (human). RNAcentral's name for it is "HSALNT0013399". The record is from RNAcentral. Lineage: Eukaryota; Metazoa; Chordata; Mammalia; Primates; Hominidae.